Molecule: ribosomal RNA, 479 nt
Filed under: uncultured bacterium
Lineage: Bacteria
Description: bacterial SSU rRNA
Rfam family: Bacterial small subunit ribosomal RNA
Source: RNAcentral
UUAUGGCUCAGGACGAACGCUGGCGGCGUGCUUAACACAUGCAAGUUGAACGGUAUGACAUGGAAGCUUGCUGAAGUGUCAUAUAGUAGCGGACGGGUGAGUAAUGCAUGAGAAGCUGCCAUUGGGAGGGGGACAACAGUUGGAAACGGCUGCUAAUACCCCGUAUGCCGGAAGGUGAAAGGGAGCGAUCCGCCCGAUGAGGUGCUCAUGUCCUAUCAGCUGGUUGGUGGGGUAACGGCCUACCAAGGCGACGACGGGUAGCCGGCCUGAGAGGGUGAACGGCCACACUGGAACUGAGAUACGGUCCAGACUCCUACGGGAGGCAGCAGUGGGGAAUAUUUGGGCAAUGGGGGCAACCCUGACCCAGCGACGCCGCGUGGGGGAAGACGGCCUUCGGGUUGUAAACCUCUUUUGUACGGGAAGAAGGAAGUGACGGUACUGUACGAAUAAGUCCCGGCUAACUACGUGCCAGCCGCUGC